CUUGCAUUGCAGAAGAUUGUUUGGGGUCCUGAUCAAGACCAGAAGAAGAAUCCCAGCACCCCUCCACCCGCAUCUUACCCCCUCCUCUCCAGCUUUAGCAUAAUUGCAUUCUCCAAAUGGUGUGUGGCAGCAGGAUAAGCUGAAAGGUCACUAGGAAGACGCCGAGUCACCCCACUGCAGACAGGCAGGUCUGCCCACGCCCUACCGAGGUCCCCAGUCUCGCGGAACACGCCGAAUCAGCCCGCUGCAGACAGGCAGGUCUGUGCACGCCCUACCGAGGUCCUGAGUCAAGCGGAAAACGCCGAAUCGGCCCGCUGCAGCUGCAGACAGGCAGGUCUGCCCACACCCUACCGAGGUCCCCAGUCUCGCGGAACACAUGCCGAAUCAGCCCGCUGCAGACAGGCAAGUCUGUGCAAGCCCUACCGAGGUCCUGAGUCACGAGGAAGACACCGAAUCACCCCACUGCAGACAGACAGCCACCUGAUUCCACAUUGCCAAGGCGCAGAGGACACCAGACCACCAGACCAAGUUUUGGUGUCAUGUGUCCUCUCCUGUCUUUCCUCAGGCUCUUGGUUGAAUGACUUAGAUCUCUGGAUUUCUACUUGUCAUCAAAUUUGGCCAUUCCUGGCAAAUGGAAUGAUAUGUAAGACAACAACAGGAGCAUGAAACAACAGGAUUCAUUUAGUACGAAUGCAAUAGGGGACAACGGCAUGUUCUGAGGCAGGAAGGUAUGAAAAGAAAGAAAGGAGGGACCAAAAGGAUUAAGAAUUUGUCUUGCUCAAAGACCUCUACACUGAAAACUACAGAACUCUGAAAAUGGAGAUUGAGGAGGAUAUAAGAAAAUGAAAAGACAUCCCUUGUUCCUGGGUAGGAAGAACCAAUAUAGUGAAAAUGGCC
Molecule: long non-coding RNA, 897 nt
Organism: Heterocephalus glaber (naked mole-rat)
Lineage: Eukaryota; Metazoa; Chordata; Mammalia; Rodentia; Bathyergidae
Source: Ensembl